Molecule: long non-coding RNA, 260 nt
Organism: Mastomys coucha (southern multimammate mouse)
Lineage: Eukaryota; Metazoa; Chordata; Mammalia; Rodentia; Muridae
Exons: 2
Source: RefSeq, a predicted model, not a curated record
AAUGAGAUCUUCUCUGGAGCUCAACUUUGACUGGCAGUUCACGUAGCCAAUCGAGAAUCCAACAUUGACCCCCCCUUGGGAGGCACCGAGCUCCGUCGGCUCGUUUCCGGCGGUCGCGCGCUCUUUUCUCGGGACGGUGGAGGCAGUGCAGCGUCGCCCUUACUCUGAGCAAAGAACUGUGGGCAGAGAGGCAGUUGGGGUUAGAGAGAACUGGGAGGCCCACACUUGGCUGUGCUCAAAUCGAAGUCAAGGUAGGUGCA